This 625-nucleotide long non-coding RNA is filed under the name Pan troglodytes (chimpanzee). Its description in RNAcentral is "lincRNA". Lineage: Eukaryota; Metazoa; Chordata; Mammalia; Primates; Hominidae. The record is from RNAcentral.
AGAUGCAACAUAAAAAUUUCAGAGACAGAAGAAAUCUUCCUUUGAGGGCAGUGAUACACUUAUGUGAGAUUUUGAAAAGUGAAAAAUCAAAGGUGGAAUUGACCAAUAGAUGUAAAAGUACAACAAAUAAACAAAAAUGGCAAUGUUGAAAGUGAAACUGAAAUUCAACAGAAAUAAAAGAAAUAGCAGACUGGGGGGAUAUUGACUUUGACACCAUGAUGCCAGAGGAACUUAGUAAUGGCAAACUUAUCAAUAUAAAAUGAGGAUAUUGGUUGUCAACUAGGUUGUGUGGUGGUCCUUGAUCUUGUCCAUCAAGUCCUUUUUCCCAAAGGAUAACUGAAGAAGAUCACAUACAUUCCAACUUAUUGAGUCUGAUAGGUAUUCAUCUGAUGAGCUCCUCUUCAACUGAGGAUUGAAAUGCUGUUUUUCUUCCCUGGUACAAUGUUAAAGCUUUAAACUCUCGUCAAUGAUGUGAUGUUUCAUCUGCAAUGAUCUACACUAGAAAAAUAAAGAUGUAGUUACUGACAAAAAAGCAGGAUCACACAUGACAAUAUUAACUUUAAAUGUAAAUGGACUAAAUGCUCCAAUUAAAAGACACAGACUGGCAAAUUGGAUAAAGAGUCAA